Thunnus maccoyii (southern bluefin tuna) is the source of this 1666-nucleotide long non-coding RNA. RefSeq lists it as uncharacterized. The transcript has 3 exons. The record is from RefSeq and is a predicted model, not a curated record. Lineage: Eukaryota; Metazoa; Chordata; Actinopteri; Scombriformes; Scombridae.
CACAGGAAAAGUAGCUGAAGUCCUUAGUCAGAUCUUCAGGAUUUAUGACCUCAAGGAACAAGUUGAUGUCCAUGUCAAACGUGCUGCUGUCCUCUGUGCUCCCUGCAUAUCUGCAUAUCUACAUGAGGAUGACUCUGGAUUUCUGAAGCAAUGGGAUGUGGCGUAGUCUGACGAACCAAACAUUGGCGAUGUACCAAUUGGGCUCCUCUUGAUCAGUGCCAAUUCAACAGAUGCCAUGUUCUUCUGCCCAGAGAGGACUGUGGUCCUGCUUGAGGGUAACAUAGUUAUUGAUUUACCCACAUUUGCUGACGCAUUUGUCAUGCUUUUUGCACUGAUUUAUGCGCUGCAUCUAAGUUACUCUGCCAAUACAAUUGACUUUACCCAGAAAGUCUUAUUGGGCCCAGAGGAUGGGAAGCUGAGGGUGUUGAACCUUAAAAAUGACCUUUUGGCAGUGGAGUAAUCUCAAGUGUAUGGACAAACAGGUUGCUCCUUAACUUGAGAUCUCUUUCAUGUACACUUGCACCACAGUCAUUUUUUUGCACAGAGAAAUGAAAGGAGUUUCUUCUGUUUUGGAAACAUCUUAGAGAUGUGUUUUGAAAGUAUUAUUUUUCUUCAAUUUUGAAUGUGUUAUUGUUCAAAAGUAAUUUUGAUGUAGUGUUUGUAGUAUAUGAAUGUGUAAACCAGAAAUGGCUACAGCAGUACACACAGUAUGGUGAACAUUUUAUAUGAACAUUUAGUAUGCACAUUUUGCCAUACUGUUUGCCAUUUCUGUGAUAUGUCACUAUAGGAAAUGUGGUAAAUCAAUGAACAAAACUGUUUAUGGCAAUAUUGGAUUUUUAUGACUUUAGCAUCAAGUGAUGAAGUACCUUGACUUUGUAAGUUAUUCCAAUUGCUGAAUUAGCCAAACACAGAUAUUCCUGUCUGGUUAUUUUAUCCAUAAACAGUUUUUUAAUUGAUUUUUCCAGAAAAAUCAAUUGGUAAAUGGUAAGAUUGGUAUUGGUAAGAUCACAUACCAUGCGUUCAAAUAGAGUAACUUAUGUUUAAAUCAUCUGUGUUAACCUGUUUUUAAUGUUUACUCAAAAUAUGUUUGUCUUUUUGAGUCAAAGCUACUUAAUACAAUUUAUGUAAUCUGUUUCAAAAAAUGUGUUAAGUUCCUUAAAAUGGAAUUUUGAGUUAAUAUUAAGUGAAAUAUUUAAGUAUAGGGAGGAUUGUACAGCUUUGUUGAACUUAAACAAAUUAAGUUAACAUAAAGUGAACAUUGCCUUACUGAGAAAUGAAAUGUUUUCUGUUAAAGUAACAAAAAAAUUACAGUUAGUUAUACUUGAUUUUCAUUAGUACUCUGAAAACAAAAUACUGAGUAAAAAUAACAUAAUUAAGAAUGUUUGCGUAACUUAGAAAAUUGAGUAUGUGUCACUUGAAAUUACCUAGUAAAACUACUUGAACUAGUAUGUUUCUUUAACUUACAAAAUGGAGCAAAUAUCACUUAAAAUUUUCGAUGUAGUUCAGUUGCUCAGAUGUUCAGUUUCAACAAAUCUUUUGAGUUAGAUUAACUUAUCAGAUUUUACAGUGUAAUAUGUUUUCAAAAGCAGCUUUUUUCACUUACAACUUCUGUGCAGGGAGAAUUAAAGUGUCAAAAUGUUUGUGGAUACACAUGCAUUUUAUGGGU